This 244-nucleotide long non-coding RNA is filed under the name Physcomitrium patens. RNAcentral describes it as "long non-coding RNA (PPAT_LNC007974)". The record is from RNAcentral. Lineage: Eukaryota; Viridiplantae; Streptophyta; Bryopsida; Funariales; Funariaceae.
GUUACCAACUAAAUAGCCUAACCAUAAGUCUAAUUCUCAAGAUUAUCAAUAAUCAACUAGUAUCUUAUCACAAAAUUUAUUUACAUAUUCUACAUAGUCCCACUCUUAAUUGUGCAGCGCCCUCACAAACAUUAUUUAGCCUCAACUUAUAAAGACGUAGCAGCAUUGGCUUCUUUAGUCAAUAGCGUUGGCUUACCACCCUUUGAAUUGGCGACAUCAUUCUCUACUACAUCUUUGUCAUCUA